RNAcentral lists this ribosomal RNA (253 nucleotides) under uncultured Eubacteriales bacterium. RNAcentral describes it as "uncultured Clostridiales bacterium partial 16S ribosomal RNA". It matches the Rfam family "Bacterial small subunit ribosomal RNA", at positions 524 to 776 of the family's 1533-position model. The record is from RNAcentral. Lineage: Bacteria; Bacillati; Bacillota; Clostridia; Eubacteriales.
UACGUAGGGGGCAAGCGUUAUCCGGAUUUACUGGGUGUAAAGGGAGCGUAGACGGCAGUGCAAGUCUGGAGUGAAAGGCGGGGGCUCAACCCCCGGACUGCUCUGGAAACUGUACGGCUGGAGUGCAGGAGAGGUAAGUGGAAUUCCUAGUGUAGCGGUGAAAUGCGUAGAUAUAUGGAAGAACACCAGUGGCGAAGGCGGCUCUCUGGUCUGCAACUGACGCUGAGGCUCGAAAGCAUGGGUAGCGAACAGG